UGUAUCUCAUUGUCAAAGUGAUCUUUCACUGCCUGUAUUUGUUCUCUUAUGUCUUCUUUGACAUCCCAAAAAAUUUUAAUCAUGUAUAUCCUUAAAUCUUUGUCUGUACUUUUUUCUGCUGUAGCUGUCAAUUCUUCUAAUGAUGUGUUGCGUUGAAUUUUUUGUGGUGCUUUCUUCCCUUGUCUUUUCAUGUUGCUUGCAUUUCUUUCUUUCCAGCUCUGUGGGACUGGUGUGUUAUUGUUUUUACCCUAUAGAUUUGUAGUGCUCUUGUAUGAUUCCAAGAAUCUCUCCUUUGUGGGGAAGGACAAAGUUAACAUAUCCCAAUAUCAAUAAUAUGCCACCUAUAAAUAAAUUAUUGGUAUUAAGACAUUUAUAGUUAGUCUCCAUGUCCAGAAAUGUUGGAUUCAAUUAUUAUUUAAAAUAUAAUCAGUAGUUUCAUAAAAGGUGUAUAGUUUCUGGUGGCAGACAGUGAACUGGGGGUCAUGCAUAGGAUGAUAUGCUAAGGGGGAAAGAUGUGAGGGUAUGGGGUUAAUGUAACUAAGGACAUUUGGAGGAGAACUCUAAUGAAGAGGGUUAGUAGCAGGGGAAUAGAUAGAAGGUAAUUUAGGGUAGACAAAUACAUGGGAGGACAGUAGAGUACAUAAAACCAAACACAAAUGUAUUUAAAAAUUACAGGAUGUAAAAAUAGUAAAAUUUGGAGGCUGAAAGAAGAAGAAAGAGAAGAAGAAAAAAGGGAAAGAAAGAAAGAGAAAAAAGAGAGAGAAAUUAAGGGGGGAGGUUAUACAAUUCUUCUAUAUUAUAUUAUUCAGGUGACUCAGUUUUCAAAGUUCUAUUUCAUGUAAAGUUAUUAGUUUCACAUAUGUUGGGAUUGUGAGGGCCAGAGGAUAGAAGGGUAGAGGAGAAAGAAAAAGGAUAAUAAGGAAAAAAAUAUAUACUCUUUAGAAUUUCAUUUCUUUCCUGCUUCUCUUCUCUUCCAGUAGGUGGAGUUGUCUGUUUUAAGCUUGAGUCUCUGCCCUCAGGAUGGUGUGGUAACCAGGGUGAAAAGACUUGAGCUCCUGGUAUCAUUUCCCUCUCUUGCCUGGAGCUUCCCUGAUCCUGGUCUCUGUGUUUUGCUCCAGGUUUUAGACCCCUCCCCUCUCUUGCUUAUCAGGUCUAAACUGUGGAACCUCUAACCCUCAGCUUGCACCAGAUGGGCAGUGCCCUAGUUGCACUGUGUUCCUGUUCAACUGAGAGCUGUUUUGGGGCUGGGUAGUCACUGUGCUGAGUUAUCGCAACUGGGGGGAGAGGGAGUUGGAAACCAGGUGCCUGUUCAGUCAGAGAUCUGCCCUGAUAGCCACGCCCACCAAAAAAAUGGGGAGAAAGGUUUUCCAAGAUGGAAUUCGUCUGCUUCUAGCGCCAGGGUGUCUGGUGAGUUGCGGGGAGCUGGGAUAUCCUUGUGCUGUGGCUAGAAUGCAGUCAAGUUACCUGCAUUGGAGUGGAGCACAGUCUGUAGUUCUGUAGUUCUGCAGAGGUGCUGAUUUGAUGAUUCUGCUAGGUCUCUUGAGAGGUGUGUGUUUGUGUGUGUGUGAGUGCUAGAACUGCGCUUUGGGUCUGGAGUCCAGAGUCUUAUUGGAACAAAGAGGCUCUGAUUUCUGCAAGGGUGUUUGCAAUGCUGGUGGUUUCUGCAAAAAUCCACUGUAUUGGGGUCCUGUCGCAUGCUCUGAGAUGUUGUAUUCUGUCUAGGUGAGAUCUUGUGGAAAUGCUGCCUGACUGCUUUCUUGGAUUCCUGCCACAGAGCAGCCAGAAACAGUACCUCUUCUAUUCCUCCAUCUUGCAUCCUCACAAUUAUAUAUUUUGUAUUCAUUGUCUGAGGUUCUGUUUUCCAAGUGAUCUAGUCUUUUGGUGAUGCUUUCUAUUGAUAUUUAAUUUGGUUUAUUGUUUCCUUCAUUUCAAGGACUUCUGUUUGUUUUUUACCAGAAUCUCUAUCUCUUUAUUGAAGCAAUCUUUUGCUUCCUGUAUUUGCUAACAUAGUUCUUUAUCAAAGUGAUCUUUUGUUGCCUGUUUUCUUUCUUAUCAUCCUUUACUUCACAGAACAUUUAAAUAUGUACAUCCUGAACUCCUUCUCUGACAUUUUUCUAUUAUGCUGGCAAUGAAUUCUAAUAAUGGAGUAUCUUGGUUUUUUGGGGGCACUUUAUUCCCUUGUUUUUUCAUGUUGUUUUGUGUCUUCACCUCUAGCCGUGUGGAGCCAAGGUAUUACAGUUUUUACCCUAUAGACUUAUAGUGUCUCUGCAAAUUUCCUAUACCACUUCUUUAGGGGGCAGAUCAAUAUUAACAGAUCCCAAUGCAAACAAUAUGCAGCCUUAAACCAAAUAGUUCCUAUUAAGACAUUUACAAUUUUAUCACAAUAAACAUAAAUGGUAUGUUUAAUUAUUAUCCUGUUAUAAAUAGUGGGUUUGUGAUAGGGUCUACAGUUUCUAAUGGUGGACAAAGAGAGAUGGGGUUGUUGUAGGAUGAGAUGUUAAGGAGGUGAAGAUGAGGAUAUAGAGGUAUUAGAUAUUAGGAAAUGUUGUAGGCUGCAAUCAAGUCAAGAUGGUGCCUGGCAGUUUGCCAGGAGGAGUGGUUUGUGAGGCAACGCCACUGAGCCAUCAAGAUGGUGGGGACUCCUUAUUGGCUGAUUGCUGUAUCUGUAGGGGAGCAAUGCUAUGAUUGGAUGAUGCUGAUUGAGUCAAGCUGUAUGUAAUCAGUUAGAUAUAUAUACCUCUGCUGUUCCGCAAUAAAGCAGUUCCCGCUUCAACCUUCAAGUUGCUUGUCACCUCCCAGUUAUUUUGCCCAGCUGGAAUACGGCAAGGAAACAUGAGAGAGGAAUCAAAAAGAAGUUGGCUUAUAGCAAGAGAAAAUAGAGGAAGAGACUCUGAGGAGACAGA
RNAcentral lists this long non-coding RNA (2903 nucleotides) under Marmota monax (woodchuck). Lineage: Eukaryota; Metazoa; Chordata; Mammalia; Rodentia; Sciuridae. The record is from RNAcentral.